AACGAACGCUGGCGGCAUGCCUAACACAUGCAAGUCGAACGAAACCUUCGGGUCUAGUGGCGCACGGGUGCGUAACGCGUGGGAACCUGCCCUUAGGUUCGGAAUAACUCCCCGAAAGGGGUGCUAUUACCGGAUAAUGUCUUCGGACCAAAGAUUUAUCGCCUUUGGAUGGGCCCGCGUUGGAUUAGCUAGUUGGUAGGGUAAAAGCCUACCAAGGCGACGAUCCAUAGCUGGUCUGAGAGGCUGAUCAGCCACACUGGGACUGAGACACGGCCCAGACUCCUACGGGAGGCAGCAGUGGGGAAUAUUGGACAAUGGGCGAAAGCCUGAUCCAGCAAUGCCGCGUGAGUGAUGAAGGCCUUAGGGUUGUAAAGCUCUUUUACCCGGGAUGAUAAUGACAGUACCGGGAGAAUAAGCUCCGGCUAACUCCGUG
RNAcentral lists this ribosomal RNA (433 nucleotides) under uncultured bacterium. RNAcentral describes it as "partial 16S ribosomal RNA". It matches the Rfam family "Bacterial small subunit ribosomal RNA", at positions 29 to 507 of the family's 1533-position model. The record is from RNAcentral.